CCGCUGAACUUAAGCAUAUCAAUAAGCGGAGGAAAAGAAACCAACAGGGAUUGCCUCAGUAACGGCGAGUGAAGCGGCAACAGCUCAAAUA
This 91-nucleotide ribosomal RNA is filed under the name Haematomma erythromma. RNAcentral describes it as "partial 28S ribosomal RNA". It matches the Rfam family "Eukaryotic large subunit ribosomal RNA", at positions 25 to 115 of the family's 3401-position model. The record is from RNAcentral. Lineage: Eukaryota; Fungi; Ascomycota; Lecanoromycetes; Lecanorales; Haematommataceae.